RNAcentral lists this ribosomal RNA (482 nucleotides) under uncultured bacterium. RNAcentral describes it as "partial 16S ribosomal RNA". It matches the Rfam family "Bacterial small subunit ribosomal RNA", at positions 28 to 507 of the family's 1533-position model. The record is from RNAcentral.
GACGAACGCUGGCGGCGUGCUUAACACAUGCAAGUCGAACGCUGAAGCUCAGCUUGCUGGGUGGAUGAGUGGCGAACGGGUGAGUAACACGUGAGUAACCUGCCCUCUUCUUUGGGAUAACGCCCGGAAACGGGUGCUAAUACUGGAUAUUCACUGAUUCUCGCAUGGGGGUUGGUGGAAAGGUUUUUUCUGGUGGGGGAUGGGCUCGCGGCCUAUCAGCUUGUUGGUGGGGUGAUGGCCUACCAAGGCUUUGACGGGUAGCCGGCCGGAGAGGGUGACCGGUCACAUUGGGCAUGAGCCACGGCCCAGACGCAUACGGCAGGCGGCAGUGGGGAAUAUUGCGCGAUGGGCGGAAGCCUGAUGCAGCGGCGCGGCGUGAGGGAUGGAGGCCUUCGGGUUGUAAACCUCUUUCGCGCAUGGUCAUGCCGCAGCUUUGGGUUGUGGUGACGGUAGUGGGUAAAGAAGCGCCGGCUAACUACGUG